This 466-nucleotide ribosomal RNA is filed under the name Vreelandella stevensii. RNAcentral's name for it is "partial 16S ribosomal RNA". It matches the Rfam family "Bacterial small subunit ribosomal RNA", at positions 338 to 795 of the family's 1533-position model. The record is from RNAcentral. Lineage: Bacteria; Pseudomonadati; Pseudomonadota; Gammaproteobacteria; Oceanospirillales; Halomonadaceae.
CCUACGGGUGGCUGCAGUGGGGAAUAUUGGACAAUGGGGGCAACCCUGAUCCAGCCAUGCCGCGUGUGUGAAGAAGGCCCUCGGGUUGUAAAGCACUUUCAGUGAGGAAGAACGCCUGGUGGUUAAUACCCAUCAGGAAAGACAUCACUCACAGAAGAAGCACCGGCUAACUCCGUGCCAGCAGCCGCGGUAAUACGGAGGGUGCGAGCGUUAAUCGGAAUUACUGGGCGUAAAGCGCGCGUAGGUGGCUUGAUACAGCCGGUUGUGAAAGCCCCGGGCUCAACCUGGGAACGGCAUCCGGAACUGUCAAGCUAGAGUGCAGGAGAGGAAGGUAGAAUUCCCGGUGUAGCGGUGAAAUGCGUAGAGAUCGGGAGGAAUACCAGUGGCGAAGGCGGCCUUCUGGACUGACACUGACACUGAGGUGCGAAAGCGUGGGUAGCAAACAGGAUUAGAUACCCUGGUAGUC